RNAcentral lists this ribosomal RNA (492 nucleotides) under uncultured bacterium. RNAcentral's name for it is "partial 16S ribosomal RNA". It matches the Rfam family "Bacterial small subunit ribosomal RNA", at positions 29 to 507 of the family's 1533-position model. The record is from RNAcentral.
AGUGAACGCUGGCGGUAGGCCUAACACAUGCAAGUCGAACGGCAGCACAGUAAGAGCUUGCUCUUACGGGUGGCGAGUGGCGGACGGGUGAGGAAUACAUCGGAAUCUACUUUUUCGUGGGGGAUAACGUAGGGAAACUUACGCUAAUACCGCAUACGACCUACGGGUGAAAGCAGGGGAUCUUCGGACCUUGCGCGAUUGAAUGAGCCGAUGUCGGAUUAGCUAGUUGGCGGGGUAAAGGCCCACCAAGGCGACGAUCCGUAGCUGGUCUGAGAGGAUGAUCAGCCACACUGGAACUGAGACACGGUCCAGACUCCUACGGGAGGCAGCAGUGGGGAAUAUUGGACAAUGGGCGCAAGCCUGAUCCAGCCAUACCGCGUGGGUGAAGAAGGCCUUCGGGUUGUAAAGCCCUUUUGUUUGGAAAGAAAAGCAGCAGGUUAAUACCCCGCUGUUCUGACGUUACCCAAAGAAUAAGCACCGGCUAACUUCGUG